AACGAACGCUGGCGGCGGGCUUAACACAUGCAAGUCGAGCGGAAAGGCCCUGCUUAUGUGCGGAGGUCGAGUGGCGAACGGGGGAGUAACACGUGAGUAAGGUGCACUUGACUUUGGGAUAACGUCAGGAAACUGGGGCUAAUACCGGAUAGGAGCUACUGCUGCAUGAUGAGGGUUGGAAAGUUUCGGCGGUUGGGGAUGGACUCGCGGCCUAUCCGCUUGUUGGUGGGGUAGUGGCUUACCAGGGCUUUGAAGGGUAGCAGGCCUGAGAGGGUGACCGGCCACGUUGGGACUGAGAUGCGGCCCAGACUCCUACGGGACGCAGCGGUGGGGUAGAGUGCACAAGGGGCGGAAGCCAGAUGCAGCAACGCCGCGUGCGGUAUGACGGCCAUCGGGUUGUAAACCGCUUUCGCCUGUGAUGAAGCGUGAGUGACGGUAAUGGGUAAAGAAGCACCGGCUAACUACGUG
Molecule: ribosomal RNA, 468 nt
Filed under: uncultured bacterium
Lineage: Bacteria
Description: partial 16S ribosomal RNA
Rfam family: Bacterial small subunit ribosomal RNA
Source: RNAcentral